This 21-nucleotide microRNA is filed under the name Citrus sinensis (sweet orange). RNAcentral describes it as "csi-miR172a-5p". Its record names the gene csi-miR172a-5p. Lineage: Eukaryota; Viridiplantae; Streptophyta; Magnoliopsida; Sapindales; Rutaceae. The record is from miRBase by way of RNAcentral.
GCAGCGUCCUCAAGAUUCACA